UAAUAGGAUGCCAAGGGCGUAUGGUGGAUGCCUAGGUUCAUGGAAGCGAUGAAGGGCGCGGACUGUCUGCGAUAAGCUUCGGGGAGGUGACAAUCAACCUUUGAUCCGGAGAUUUCCGAAUAGGGGAACCUUAUAUAGAAAACCUAUAUAACCGGUGUAUGUAACUCAUACAUCAGGAGCGCACCUGGGGAAUUGAAACAUCUUAGUACCCAGAGGAAAAGAAACCAACAGGGAUUCCGUUAGUAGCGGCGAGCGAAACCGGACGAGCCUAAACCGGAGCAGUUCUUUCGAGAAUUAUGUUCCGGGGUUCGGACACAAGUGGGGAUUUAUCCCGAGAAGUCAUAAAAUAGAAAAUUAAAAGAAUGUGCUGGAACGCACAACCAUAGAGGGCGAUCGUCCCGUACUUGAAAAUUUUCUAUCUUCUUGGCUUGUGCUCCAGAGUACCCCAAGACAUGAAUAGCUUGGGGGAAUGUGCCAGUACUCACUGGUAAGGCUAAAUAUUCCAUGAGACCGAUAGUGAACCAGUACCGUGAGGGAAAGGUGAAAAGAACCCCGAAAGGGGAGUGAAAUAGAUUUGAAACCAUAUGUCUACAAGGAGUCGGAGAGGUGCUUGCACCUCGACGGCGUGCCUAUUGAAGAAUGAGCCAACGAGUGUAUAUGUGCAGCGGCCUAAAUGCGUAACGGCAUGGAGGCAGAGGGAAACCGAGUGUGAAUAGCGCGCCUGUUGUACGUAUACGACCCGAAACGAAGUGAGCUUACCAUGAGCAGGGUGAAGCGACUGUAAAAGGUCGUGGAGGCCCGAACCCACGCGCUGUUCAACACGCGGGGAUGACUUGUGGUAAGAAGUGAAAAGCUAAUCGAACUUCGUAAUAGCUGGUUCUCUCCGAAAUAUAUUUAGGUAUAGCGUCAUGUGUUCCCAUUGGGGGUAGAGCACUGGAUGGUCUCGGAUAGCCUUAACGGGCGCCGAUCCUACCAAACUCCGAAUACCAAUGGUUAAAAACAUGGCAGUCAGACUCAGGGGGCGAAGCUCCUGCGGUCGAAAGGGAAACAGCCCAGAUCUACAGCUAAGGUCCCAAAAUUCAUACUAAGUGCAAGCAAGGAGGUGAGAUUUCUCCGACAAUCAGGAGGUUGGCUUAGAAGCAGCCAUUCCUUUAAAGAUAGCGUAACAGCUCACUGAUCAAGAGAUCUUGCGCCACAAAUAAUCGGGGCUAAGUAUGAUACCGAAGCUUAGGGCUUGGUACUUAUUCGUAAGUGCUGAGCGGUAGGAGAGUGUUGUCAUCUGCAUUGAAGCCAAAGGCGUAAGCCAUGGUGGAGCGUUGACAAGUAAGAAUGUUGGCACGAGUAACCGCAAGGAGGGUGAGAUCCCCUCCCGCCGAAAGACCAAGGUUUCCUCUGCAACGAUAAUCGACGGAGGGUUAGUCAGGCCUAAGGUGAUGACGAAAGUCGCAACCGAUGGACACACGGUUAAUAUUCCGUGACUUCGUAUGUAUGCGAUGAAGGGACGGAGAAAAUGAAUGAAUGCACCUUAUUGGAUUGGUGUUGUUGGUGGUAGGAACGUAUCUUAGGAAAAUCCGGGAUACAUAAAUUCCAAAGCAGACGAAAUUUAUGACUUCGGUCAUAGAAAUAUUCACGAAGAGUCUUCCAAGAAAAGCUUCUAAGCUUAAUACAUGCGAAUCUGUACCGCAAACCGACACAGGUGGUCUGGUCGAGUAGACUAAGGCGAACGAGUGAGAGGUCCUCAAGGAACUCGGCAAAUCAGCGGCCGUAACUUCGGAAUAAGGCCCGCCCCCCACUACUUUGGAUAUUUCCAAGGUCGUGGGAGAGUAAACUUGAUGGAAAAAUUUGAGACAAAUAAGGAAAAACAACAACAGAACUCUCCAUUACCAAGGCACAGAAGUGCCCAAAGUAGUGGGGGGCCGCAGCGAAAGACUCCCUGGCGACUGUUUACCAAAAACACAGCUCCCUGCUAACUCGCAAGAGGAUGUAUAGGGGGUGACACCUGACCAAUGUCAGAAGGUUAAAUACGGGCGGUGAAGAAGAGUUUACUUUUCUUUGCUGGACUGUAUAAGCCCUGAUGAAUGUCGGCCGUAACUAUAACGGUCCUAAGGUAGCGAAAUUCCUUGUCUGGUAAGUUCAGACGUGCACGAAUGGUGUAACGACUGGGGAACUGUCUCGAGGACCUGCUCGGUGAAAAUGCAAUACCGGUGAAGAUGCCGGUUACCUGCAGCAGGACAGAAAGACCCCGGGAGCUUUACUACAGCUUCGUAUUGGCACUAUGAACAUAUUGUGCAGCAUAGGUGGGAGACUUUGAUGCAUCGGCGCUAGCUGGUGUUGAGUCGUCAGUGAAAUACCAUCCCUUAUGUUUAUAGUGUCUAACCAAUAUGGUAAAAACAUAUUGAGACAGUGCGUGGUGGGUAGUUUGUUUGGGGCGAAUUCCUCCUAAAAAGUAACGGAGGAGUCUACAAAGGUCAGUUAGGCGCGAAUGGAAACCGUGCUGAUAGUGUAAUGGCAUAAACUGGCUUGACUGUAAGUCGUACGUGACAAACAGGCGCGAAAGCGGAGCAUAGUGAACUUACUGUGGCCUUGAGAUGGCGCAGUAAAUUAACGGAUAAAAGCUACCCCGGGGAUAACAGGCUGGUAUCGCCCAAGAGUUCAUAUCGACGGCGAUGUUCGGCACCUCGAUGUCGGCUCGUCCUAUCCUGGGGCUGGAGAAGGUCCCAAGGGUUUGGCUGUUCGCCAAUUAAAAGGGCACGCGAGCUGGGUUCAGACCGUCUAGUACUUGUCUUUGACGAGUGUUAGAUUUUCUGAAUCCCUUCAAGGAGUUAUACAAAACUUUAAGAAAAAAAUUAUAGAUACAUAUUGUUAUAUGGUCUUUCUGUCCAAAGAUAAUCUAAUGUUUUAUUACAUCAAUAAAACCAAAGAACCAAUCACGACACGGCGGCACGCCAUAGAAAUGUGGUGUCGCAAAAUCAACUUAUAUCGGUGAAACCCCAACUCAAUGCGAGAGGGCAAUACCGAGGGAAGGUUGUGAAUUCUUUUGAGGAGGUGAAAACUCUACUUUUAUGUAGGGCAACGAAGCAUAUGUGCGGACUAAAAUAAUUUAUUUUAGUAACCACGAUCGUAUCUUUACGAUCCACUUCGUGCCUUCUCUCCUUUGAAGAAUUCAUGACUACCCGUAGAGACUAAAUGUUGAUUGACUAGAAAUGUUUUAGUCAAAGUUAUAGUCCGAUCCCGCCAGUAAUGGCGGCGUGACCACGUCAAACGUGGUUGCUACAAUUGCGUGAGACAGGUUGGUUCUCUAUCCGCUGCAGGCGUUGAUUCUUGACAAGAGUUGUCCCUAGUACGAGAGGACCGGGAUGAACAAACCUCUGGUCUACCAGCUGUACCGCCAGGUGCACCGCUGGGUAGCUAUGUUUGGAAUGGAUAACCGCUGAAAGCAUCUAAGCGGGAAGCCAACUUGGAGAUUAGGAAUCAUAGGGCCCUGGGAGAUGACCAGGUUGAUAGGUGCAAGGUGUAAGCGCAGUAAUGUGUUCAGCCGAAGCAUACUAAUUGCCCAUCUCCUAUUAGG
This 3568-nucleotide ribosomal RNA is filed under the name Candidatus Nomurabacteria bacterium. RNAcentral describes it as "23S ribosomal RNA". It matches the Rfam family "Bacterial large subunit ribosomal RNA". Lineage: Bacteria; Candidatus Nomuraibacteriota. The record is from RNAcentral.